Molecule: ribosomal RNA, 200 nt
Filed under: uncultured bacterium
Lineage: Bacteria
Description: partial 16S ribosomal RNA
Rfam family: Bacterial small subunit ribosomal RNA
Source: RNAcentral
UACGGAGGGUGCGAGCGUUGUCCGGAUUUAUUGGGUUUAAAGGGUGCGUAGGUGGCUUUGUAAGUCAGUGGUGAAAUACAUCCGCUUAACGGAUGAGGUGCCAUUGAUACUGCAGAGCUUGAAAGAAUUGGAGGCUGCCGGAAUGGAUGGUGUAGCGGUGAAAUGCAUAGAUAUCAUCCAGAACACCGAUUGCGAAGGCA